AGGACCGAGUGGGGAGGAAGAGUGGGAGCACCGACCACUUUUUUGAAUUGCAAAUGAAGCUGAAAAAUUCAUGCACAAAAAUGUAUAUCUUUCCUUCUCUCUUCACAUUUCCUCCAACUUCUUCUCCUGUAAUUCGCAAUUC
Caenorhabditis elegans is the source of this 142-nucleotide non-coding RNA. NCBI's taxonomy places the organism in Eukaryota, Metazoa, Nematoda, Chromadorea, Rhabditida, Rhabditidae. The record is from Ensembl.